Molecule: non-coding RNA, 148 nt
Filed under: Pan paniscus (pygmy chimpanzee)
Lineage: Eukaryota; Metazoa; Chordata; Mammalia; Primates; Hominidae
Also listed under: 1 other name
Source: Rfam by way of RNAcentral
GCCGGGCAUGGUGGCGCGUGCCUGUAAUCCCAGCUACUUGGGAGGCUGAGGCAGGAGAAUUGCUUGAACCCAGGAGGCGGAGGUUGCAGUGGGCCAAGAUUGCACCAUUGCACUCCAGCCUGGAUGACAGAGCUAGACUCCGUCUCAA